AUACGGAGGAUCCGAGCGUUAUCCGGAUUUAUUGGGUUUAAAGGGAGCGUAGGUGGACAGUUAAGUCAGUUGUGAAAGUUUGCGGCUCAACCGUAAAAUUGCAGUUGAUACUGGCUGUCUUGAGUACAGUAGAGGUGGGCGGGAUUCGGGGUGUAGCGGUGAAAUGCUUAGAUAUCACGAAGAACCCCGAUUGCGAAGGCAGCUCACUGGACUGCAACUGACACUGAUGCUCGAAAGUGUGGGUAUCAAACAGGAUUAGAUACCCUGGUAGUCCACACAGUAAACGAUGAAUACUCGCUGUUUGCGAUAUACAGUAAGCGGCCAAGCGAAAGCAUUAAGUAUUCCACCUGGGGAGUACGCCGGCAACGGUGAAACUCAAAUGAAUUGACGGGG
RNAcentral lists this ribosomal RNA (393 nucleotides) under uncultured bacterium. RNAcentral's name for it is "partial 16S ribosomal RNA". It matches the Rfam family "Bacterial small subunit ribosomal RNA", at positions 523 to 918 of the family's 1533-position model. The record is from RNAcentral.